RNAcentral lists this ribosomal RNA (380 nucleotides) under uncultured eukaryote. Its description in RNAcentral is "partial 18S ribosomal RNA". It matches the Rfam family "Eukaryotic small subunit ribosomal RNA", at positions 592 to 976 of the family's 1831-position model. The record is from RNAcentral.
CAAUAGCGUAUAUUAAAGUUGUUGCAGUUAAAAAGCUCGUAGUUGGAUCUGUGGUGUGCGGUGGGCUCCGGGCACUUGUUGUCUGAGUAGCUCGCCGCUGCCAUCCUUGGGUGGAACCUGUGUGGCAUUAGGUUGUCGUGCAGGGGAUGCCCAUCGUUUACUGUGAAAAAAUUAGAGUGUUCAAAGCAGGCUUAUGCCGUUGAAUAUAUUAGCAUGGAAUAAUGAGAUAGGACUUUUUCGCUAUUUUGUUGGUUUGCGCGAAGAGGUAAUGAUUAAUAGGGACAGUUGGGGGUAUUCGUAUUCCAUUGUCAGAGGUGAAAUUCUUGGAUUUUUGGAAGACGAACUACUGCGAAAGCAUUUACCAAGGAUGCUUUCAUUAA